GGGCCCGCACAAGCGGAGGAACAUGUGGUUUAAUUCGAUGAUACGCGAGGAACCUUACCCGGGUUUGAACGCAUUUCGACAGACGGGGAAACCUGUUUUCUAGCAAUAGCGAUUUGCGAGGGUGCUGCAUGGUUGUCGUCAGCUCGUGCCGUGAGGUGUCGGCUUAAGUGCCAUAACGAGCGCAACCCUUAUUGUUAGUUACCAUCAGGUCAUGCUGGGGACUCUAACAAGACUGCCAGCGUAAGCUGUGAGGAAGGUGGGGAUGACGUCAAAUCAGCACGGCCCUUACAUCCGGGGCGACACACGUGUUACAAUGGGGGGGACAAAGGGCAGCCACCUGGCGACAGGGCGCUAAUCCCUAAACCCUUUCUCAGUUCGGAUCGGAGUCUGCAACUCGACUCCGUGAAGCUGGAUUCGCUAGUAAUCGCGCAUCAGCCAUGGCG
RNAcentral lists this ribosomal RNA (443 nucleotides) under uncultured Bacteroidota bacterium. RNAcentral describes it as "bacterial SSU rRNA". It matches the Rfam family "Bacterial small subunit ribosomal RNA", at positions 917 to 1359 of the family's 1533-position model. Lineage: Bacteria; Pseudomonadati; Bacteroidota. The record is from RNAcentral.